CCUACGGGCCGCAGCAGUAAGGAAUAUUGGUCAAUGGGCGGAAGCCUGAACCGGCCAUGCCGCGUGCAGGAUGACUGCCCUAUGGGUUGUAAACUGCUUUUGUCCAGGAAUAAACCUAAAUACGUGUAUUUAGCUGAAUGUACUGGAAGAAUAAGGAUCGGCUAACUCCGUGCCAGCAGCCGCGGUAAUACGGAGGAUCCGAGCGUUAUCCGGAUUUAUUGGGUUUAAAGGGUGCGUAGGCGGCCUGUUAAGUCAGGGGUGAAAUACGGUGGCUCAACCAUCGCAGUGCCUUUGAUACUGAUGGGCUUGAAUCCAUUUGAAGUGGGCGGAAUAAGACAAGUAGCGGUGAAAUGCAUAGAUAUGUCUUAGAACUCCGAUUGCGAAGGCAGCUCACUAAGCUGGUAUUGACGCUGAUGCACGCAAGCGUGGGGAUCGAACAGGAUUAGAUACCCCCGUAGUC
RNAcentral lists this ribosomal RNA (460 nucleotides) under uncultured bacterium. Its description in RNAcentral is "bacterial SSU rRNA". It matches the Rfam family "Bacterial small subunit ribosomal RNA", at positions 338 to 795 of the family's 1533-position model. The record is from RNAcentral.